Molecule: transfer RNA, 62 nt
Filed under: Orientocoluber spinalis (Slender racer)
Lineage: Eukaryota; Metazoa; Chordata; Lepidosauria; Squamata; Colubridae
Description: tRNA-Cys
Source: RNAcentral
AACCCCGAGGUGUAAUUAACAUGUCAGGCUGCAAACCCGAAGUUGGCUUCGGCCCGGGGUUU